CGAAAGCCUGACGGAGCAACGCCGCGUGAGGGACAAAGGCCUUUGGGCUGUAAACCUCUUUUCUCAAGGAAGAAGAUCUGACGGUACUUGAGGAAUAAGCCACGGCUAAUUCCGUGCCAGCAGCCGCGGUAAUACGGGAGUGGCAAGCGUUAUCCGGAAUUAUUGGGCGUAAAGCGUCCGCAGGCAGCCGUCUAAGUCUGUUGUUAAAUCGUGGAGCUCAACUCCAUCACGGCAAUGGAAACUGUUCGGCUUGAGUAUGGUAGGGGCAGAGGGAAUUUCCGGUGUAGCGGUGAAAUGCGUAGAUAUCGGGAAGAACACCAGUGGCAAAAGCGCUCUGCUGGGCCAUUACUGACGCUCAUGGACGAAAGCCAGGGGAGCGAAAGGGAUUAGAUACCCCUGUAGUCCUGGCCGUAAACGAUGAACACUAGAUGUUGGGGGAAUCGACCCCCUCGGUGUCGUAGCUAACGCGUUAAGUGUUCCGCCUGGGGAGUACGCACGCAAGUGUGAAACUCAAAGGAAUUGACGGGGGACCGCACAAGCGGUGGAGUAUGUGGUUUAAUUCGAUGCAACGCGAAGAACCUUACCAAGGCUUGACAUCCUGCGAAUCUCUAAGAAACUAGAGAGUGCCUUCGGGAACGCAGUGACAGGUGGUGCAUGGCUGUCGUCAGCUCGUGUCGUGAGAUGUUGGGUUAAGUCCCGCAACGAGCGCAACCCACGUUUUUAGUUGCCAGCAUUAAGUUGGGCACUCUAGAAAGACUGCCGGUGACAAACCGGAGGAAGGUGUGGACGACGUCAAGUCAUCAUGCCCCUUACGCCUUGGGCUACACACGUACUACAAUGCUGCAGACAAAGAGUAGCGAUCUUGCAAAAGUUAGCUAAUCUCAUAAACUGCGGCUCAGUUCAGAUCGUAGGCUGCAACUCGCCUACGUGAAGGAGGAAUCGCUAGUAAUCGCAGGUCAGCAUACUGCGGUGAAUACGUUCCCGGUCCUUGUACACACCGCCCGUCACACCAUGGAAGUUGGCCAUGCCCGAAGUCGUUACUCUAACCUUUUGGAAGAGGGCGCCGAAGGCAGGGCUAAUGACUGGGGUGAAGUCGUAACAAGGUAGCCGUAGCGGAAGCUGCGGCUGGAUCACCUCCUAA
Molecule: ribosomal RNA, 1141 nt
Filed under: Candidatus Synechococcus spongiarum
Lineage: Bacteria; Bacillati; Cyanobacteriota; Cyanophyceae; Synechococcales; Synechococcaceae
Description: bacterial SSU rRNA
Rfam family: Bacterial small subunit ribosomal RNA
Source: RNAcentral